RNAcentral lists this ribosomal RNA (807 nucleotides) under uncultured bacterium. RNAcentral's name for it is "bacterial SSU rRNA". It matches the Rfam family "Bacterial small subunit ribosomal RNA", at positions 82 to 922 of the family's 1533-position model. The record is from RNAcentral.
GAUUUUUAAUCGAGUGGCGGACGGGUGAGUAACACGUAAGAAUUUACCUUUAGGAGGGGGACAACAACUGGAAACAGCUGCUAAUACCCCAUAUGCUUUUAAGUGAAAUGGAUUUUCUGCCUGAAGAGAAGCUUGCGGCUGAUUAGCUUGUUGGUAAGGUAAGAGCUUACCAAGGCGACGAUCAGUAUCUGGUUUGAGAGGACGAUCAGACACACUGGAACUGAGACACGGUCCAGACUCCUGCGGGAGGCAGCAGUAGGGAAUUUUCCGCAAUGGGCGAAAGCCUGACGGAGCAAUACCGCGUGAGGGAUGACUGCCUAUGGGUUGUAAACCUCUUUUUUCAGGGAGGAUAAAGACGUUACCUGAAGAAUAAGCAUCGGCUAACUCCGUGCCAGCAGCCGCGGUAAUACGGAGGAUGCAAGUGUUAUCCGGAAUCACUGGGCGUAAAGCGUCUGUAGGUGGUUAAAUAAGUCAACUGUUAAAUCUUAGAGCUUAACUGUAAAAUCGCAGUCGAAACUAUUAAACUCGAGUAUAGUAGAGGUAAAGGGAAUUUCCAGUGGAGCGGUGAAAUGCGUAGAUAUUGGAAAGAACACCAAUGGCGAAGGCACUUUACUGGGCUAUUACUGACACUCAGAGACGAAAGCUAGGGUAGCAAAUGGGAUUAGAUACCCCAGUAGUCCUAGCUGUAAACAAUGGAUACUAGGUGUUGAACAGACCGACCUGUGCAGUACUAAAGCUAACGCGUUAAGUAUCCCGCCUGGGAAGUAUGCACGCAAGUGUGAAACUCAAAGGAAUUGACGGGGGCCC